RNAcentral lists this unclassified non-coding RNA (395 nucleotides) under soil metagenome. RNAcentral's name for it is "partial contains 5.8S ribosomal RNA, internal transcribed spacer 2, and large subunit ribosomal RNA". The stretch from base 1 to 120 matches the Rfam family "5.8S ribosomal RNA", at positions 35 to 154 of the family's 154-position model. The record is from RNAcentral.
GAUGAAGAACGUAGUGAAAUGCGAUAAGUAAUGUGAAUUGCAGAAUUCAGUGAAUCAUCGAAUCUUUGAACGCAUCUUGCGCUCCUUGGUAUUCCGAGGAGCAUGCCUGUUUGAGUGUCAUUUUAACUUCUCAACCAUAUCGAAUUGUUUUUCGAGGUGGCUUGGACAUGGGGGUUUUUGCAGGCUUUAAUAAUGAAGUCGGCUCCUCUGAAAUGCAUUAGUGGUAUCUGAAGCAGAACUGCUACUAUUAGGUGUGAUAAUUAUCUAUGCCUCUUGGUAUACUGCAUGAACAGAUUACGCUGCUUCCAACUUGUACACCCUUUGGUGUUUGACAAAUUUGACCUCAAAUCAGGUAGGACUACCCGCUGAACUUAAGCAUAUCAAUAAGCGGAGGA